This 222-nucleotide unclassified non-coding RNA is filed under the name uncultured Mycobacteriaceae bacterium. Its description in RNAcentral is "contains 16S-23S intergenic spacer region". The record is from RNAcentral. Lineage: Bacteria; Bacillati; Actinomycetota; Actinomycetes; Mycobacteriales; Mycobacteriaceae.
UCCGAGUUGACCCCGGCAGUCUCUCACGAGUCCCCACCAUAACGUGCUGGCAACAUGAGACAAGGGUUGCGCUCGUUGCGGGACUUAACCCAACAUCUCACGACACGAGCUGACGACAGCCAUGCACCACCUGCACACAGGCCACAAGGGAAUACCUAUCUCUAGGCACGUCCUGUGCAUGUCAAACCCAGGUAAGGUGGGGAUGACGUACCAGUAUCGGAA